Oreochromis aureus is the source of this 370-nucleotide long non-coding RNA. The record is from Ensembl. Lineage: Eukaryota; Metazoa; Chordata; Actinopteri; Cichliformes; Cichlidae.
CAAACUUGUGAUUAAGAACUUUACAGCAGAGGACUGCAGGCUUUACUUCUGUGGCAUCAGGAGAGAUGGCAAUAUUCAUUUUGUGGAGACUUUCCACCUCGUCUCAGAUCCAAAAGCUGAACAUAAGAGCGAAAACCAGCAGAGUGGUCAUGUCGUCUCUAUCUCUCUGAGCUUGAAUGCUGCACUUGUUUUUGUGGUAAUCUGUCUGAGUUGUGUGUCGCUGUCUCUGAAGAGGAGAAUCAGCAAGUAUCAGGCAAACCUCCCUCCAGCUGGGACCAGUGAGGGGCUGGAGACUCCACAGGUAAGUCAAAGUGUACAGGUGACCCUGCAGCUCCUGCUCAUUGUUCUCCUUCAGUGCUACUUUGUCCUG